This 66-nucleotide transfer RNA is filed under the name Macroxyela ferruginea. RNAcentral's name for it is "tRNA-Leu". Lineage: Eukaryota; Metazoa; Arthropoda; Insecta; Hymenoptera; Xyelidae. The record is from RNAcentral.
UCUAAUAUGGCAGAUUAGUGCAAUGAAUUUAAGCUUCAUAUAUAAAAAUUAUUUUUUUUAUUAGAA